Molecule: non-coding RNA, 2163 nt
Organism: Nicotiana tabacum (common tobacco)
Lineage: Eukaryota; Viridiplantae; Streptophyta; Magnoliopsida; Solanales; Solanaceae
Source: RefSeq, a predicted model, not a curated record
GAUUACCAUGAUUAUAUGGAUUUUCAGUUACUUACCUUUGGCAUUUUCUUGGAUGCAUUUAAUUCUUUUUUCCUUUUGAAAUUUCACUUUGUCAAAUCUCAAUAAACAACUUUUCUAGCAAAAGUAUUCUAUCUUUUUCACAAUUUGAAGACAAAAUGUCAGGGUGGUGCUUUAACAGUCAGUUCAACAAUUCAAUUCAAUCAUGAAUUACUUCUUGUUAGAAAGUUAGUGCACUUGCUUUAGUUUCUGAUUGCAGAUGUAUCACAAUUAAAAAAUAUGAAAGAUGAUUAAUUAUUGAAAGAUUUUGCUAGAAGAACUUUACAAUACAUAGAUCAUCAUCGGAAACAAGGAAAGGAUGGUGAAAGGGAAAUUUGUCCACGUGAAAAUAAUAAUGCUUCUCUAGCAAAUAUUUACUUGAAUGAAGAAUUGAAACUUAAGGGAAGGAAAAAAAUAUAUAUAUACAGUUUCUUUUAAAAAGAUAAGAUAAGAUGCAGCUAAGUACAAACUGGAUUUCUUUAGAAAACUGUUUUCUUAAAUGAUUAGCCUUUGAAUUGUGUGUGAUUCUAGAGUUUCAACUGUGGUCACACUUUUCAAAUAAUUCUGAUGUAUAUGUGCUUGUCAAGGAGUGCAUUGGAUAGUCUUUCGGAACAAGGGGAUUAGGUCACUCAAUACGGUUAUUUGCCUUUAAAAAUAUGGUGGCAUGUUACACGAGUUGGAAAGAAUGUAUCAUUCUGCUGAAAGAUUUUCUUCUAGUAUUUGUAAUUCCUGUAAAUAGAUUCAGAUCAGACUCCUUGUGGGAAGGUGGGAGUGACAACAGAAAGCAUCAUUUAGUGAAAUGGUCGGCAGCCAUGAAAGACAAAACAGAAGGUGGUAGGGGGGAGCUAGAAAAUUGAAAAUACACAACAAAAUUUUAUUAUAGAAAUGGCACCUGAGGUUUAAUGAUGGAAAAGACUGGAAGAAAGUUAUGAUUGUAAAAUAUAUGAGAUGGAAUCUCCCUAGUACACAAAGCCGGUGAAGGCUCCUUAUGGAGUAGCUAUAUGGAAGUAAAGUCAAAGUUGCUGGGAAAUAGAAGAAAUAUCAGACUUUGGCUGGAUAAAUACUGCCUUGGGGGAUGUUUUUCCAGAUUUAUAUUAACUCGUCAUUUACAAAACUUGUUACACGCUGCUUUUCUGAAGGUGGAUGGAAUCUUCUUUCCGGAAGAAAUUUCAAUGAUUAGGAGAUUGGGAAUGUGAGUUGCUUAGUACAAAAAUUGAGCACGGUAUUCUUGUAUAGUUGGUGUAAAAGGUGUAGCAGCUGAUUUUGUUGAUAUCCUGGUUCUUUUGGACUACUUACAGGCAGAAGUAGAAGACUGGUACUGUUUGUAAAGUAUAAGGCUUCAAUAAUGGAGAUGAUAGCAGGAAGGAGAACAAGGUGAGCUCAGAUACGCCAUCGAUGAGAGGAGGAGAAAAGGAAAAAUUUAAGGCAUCUGAUGAUCGAGAAGGGGAUGUUGACUCCUCCUCAUUAUGAAGAAGGGUGGGUUCCAAAGAGAACUGCACCAACCAAAGCUUUGACGAUUUUUGUUUUCCGCCAGACCACCGUCUUGACCUUCGAUCGUGCCACAAACACGGGCAGAUAGGUGGUUACAUGGAGGGCCUGCCUUUCCAGUCAAUCUCCGGCAGCUCAUUGUUCUCUAUUGGAAAUUUUCAAAGGUGAACUAACAGGAAGAAAGUCAUCGCAUCUACAAGCGAAGAUAUAACACAUCAGAUGAAAUGUGAAUCCAAAAGAAAGCUAGUAAAAGGGAGUGGGCUCGCGCACGUGAGAAAUGCUCUUGAAGGCAAAACUAGUCGAUUUGCCCCUCAUGCAUACAAGAUACAUCUGGGGCCUAGUUCAAAUCUAGUUGCCCAAAAAUUAUUUUUGACAUUUGAGCAUACCGGAAAAGUGUCUAAGUACAUAUGUUUACAAGGAUAUGUCCAGAUAUAUUCCCUAUGAGAUUAAUUAUGUUGUAAUUCUAGAAUUAUAACCUUUGGUCUUUUAUGAGAAUUAGUCAGCCCCAUAGCGUUCAUAUUUUCUCCACUCCUAAAUAUUGGUUCCUUUGAGAGAGACCACUACAUAAACUUUCUUCUUCUCUAUUCUGAUCUUUGCCUGUUUUUUUACUCUGAAAUCUUUGUUGUUUUUCUUGAUUUA